This 500-nucleotide ribosomal RNA is filed under the name uncultured bacterium. Its description in RNAcentral is "bacterial SSU rRNA". It matches the Rfam family "Bacterial small subunit ribosomal RNA", at positions 1 to 507 of the family's 1533-position model. The record is from RNAcentral.
CAUGCUAGACGUAGUUUGAUCCUGGCUCGAGGACGAACGCUGGCGGCGUGCCUAACACAUGCAAGUCGAACGAGGUCCAUGCAGUGGCAACACUGCGGAAGACCUAGUGGCGAACGGGUGAGUAACACGUGAGGAACCUGCCCCGAAGACCGGGAUAACCCUCCGAAAGGAGAGCUAAUACCGGAUACCCCCACCUGGUCGCAUGGCCGGGUGAGGAAAUGGAUUCCGCUUCGGGAGGGCCUCGCGGCCUAUCAGCUAGUUGGUGAGGUAACGGCUCACCAAGGCAUCGACGGGUAGCUGGUCUGAGAGGACGAUCAGCCACACUGGGACUGAGACACGGCCCAGACUCCUACGGGAGGCAGCAGUGGGGAAUCUUGCGCAAUGGGCGAAAGCCUGACGCAGCAACGCCGCGUGGGGGAUGAAGGCUCUCGGGUUGUAAACCCCUUUCAGCAGGGACGAAAAUGACGGUACCUGCAGAAGAAGCUCCGGCUAACUACGUG